This 440-nucleotide ribosomal RNA is filed under the name uncultured bacterium. RNAcentral's name for it is "bacterial SSU rRNA". It matches the Rfam family "Bacterial small subunit ribosomal RNA", at positions 338 to 795 of the family's 1533-position model. The record is from RNAcentral.
CCUACGGGAGGCUGCAGUGAGGAAUCUUCCGCAAUGGGCGAAAGCCUGACGGAGCAAUGCCGCGUGUGGGAUGAAGCAGCUUCGCUGUGUAAACCACUGUCAGGGGGCAGGAACACUGACCGCCCCCAGAGGAAGCACCGGCUAAACUCGUGCCAGCAGCCGCGGUAAUACGAGUGGUGCGAGCGUUAAUCGGAAUUACUGGGCUUAAAGGGUGCGCAGGCGGGUCCGCAAGCACUUUGUGAAAUCCCCCGGCUCAACCGGGGAACUGCAGGGUGGACUGCGGGUCUUGAGAGAGGUAGGGGCCGACGGAACGAUCGGUGGAGCGGUGAAAUGCGUAGAUAUCGAUCGGAACGCCAAUGGUGAAGACAGUCGGCUGGGCCUUUACUGACGCUCAUGCACGAAAGCGUGGGGAGCAAACAGGAUUAGAUACCCCUGUAGUC